UCUCGGCUUAUCACCGGCAGUCCCCCUAGAGUGCCCAACUAAAUGGUGGCAACUAAGGGCGAGGGUUGCGCUCGUUGCGGGACUUAACCCAACAUCUCACGACACGAGCUGACGACAGUCAUGCAGCACCUGUGUUCCGGUUCCCUUUCGGGCACUCCUGCAUUUCUGCAGGAUUCCUAGCAUGUCAAGGGUAGGUAAGGUUUUUCGCGUUGCAUCGAAUUAAACCACAUCAUCCACCGCUUGUGCGGGCCCCCGUCAAUUCCUUUGAGUUUUAAUCUUGCGACCGUACUCCCCAGGCGGAGAGCUUAAUGCGUUAGCUGCGCCACUGAAGGGUAAACCCUCCAACGGCUAGCUCUCAUAGUUUACGGCGUGGACUAC
This 378-nucleotide unclassified non-coding RNA is filed under the name uncultured Pseudomonadota bacterium. Its description in RNAcentral is "uncultured proteobacterium contains 16S-23S intergenic spacer region". The record is from RNAcentral. Lineage: Bacteria; Pseudomonadati; Pseudomonadota.